Molecule: transfer RNA, 72 nt
Filed under: Camelus bactrianus (Bactrian camel)
Lineage: Eukaryota; Metazoa; Chordata; Mammalia; Artiodactyla; Camelidae
Also listed under: 1 other name
Rfam family: tRNA
About the family: Transfer RNA (tRNA) molecules are approximately 80 nucleotides in length.
Source: Rfam by way of RNAcentral
GAGGGUAUAGCUCAGUGGUAGAGUGUGUGUUUAACAUGCAAAAAGACCUGGGUUCAAUCCCUAGUACCUCCA